GACGAACGCUGGCGGCGUGCUUAACACAUGCAAGUCGAACGGAAAGGCCUCUUUCGGGGGGUACUCGAGUGGCGAACGGGUGAGUAACACGUGAGUAACCUGCCCUUGACUUUGGGAUAACUUCAGGAAACUGGGGCUAAUACCGGAUAGGAGCUCCUGCUGCAUGGUGGGGGUUGGAAAGUUUCGGCGGUUGGGGAUGGACUCGCGGCUUAUCAGCUUGUUGGUGGGGUAGUGGCUUACCAAGGCUUUGACGGGUAGCCGGCCUGAGAGGGUGACCGGCCACAUUGGGACUGAGAUACGGCCCAGACUCCUACGGGAGGCAGCAGUGGGGAAUCUUGCACAAUGGGUGGAAGCCUGAUGCAGCAACGCCGUGUGCGGGAUGACGGCCUUCGGGUUGUAAACCGCUUUCGCUCAUGACGAAGCUUUGUGUGACGGUAGUGGGUAAAGAAGCACCGGCUAACUACGUG
RNAcentral lists this ribosomal RNA (467 nucleotides) under uncultured bacterium. RNAcentral's name for it is "partial 16S ribosomal RNA". It matches the Rfam family "Bacterial small subunit ribosomal RNA", at positions 28 to 507 of the family's 1533-position model. The record is from RNAcentral.